UACAUGCAAGUCGAGGGGCAGGCACGGUUAGCAAUAACUGGUGGCGACCGGCGCACGGGUGCGUAACACGUAUACAAUCUACCUUAAACAGGGGAUAGCCUUUCGAAAGAGAGAUUAAUACCCCGUAAUAAAUUGAACGGCAUCGUUUGAUUUUGAAAGCUCCGGCGGUUUGAGAUGAGUAUGCGUCUGAUUAGCUAGUUGGUGAGGUAACGGCUCACCAAGGCGACGAUCAGUAGGGGACCUGAGAGGACUAACCCCCACACUGGUACUGAGACACGGACCAGACUCCUACGGGAGGCAGCAGUAAGGAAUAUUGGUCAAUGGAGGCAACUCUGAACCAGCCAUGCCGCGUGCAGGAUGACGGCCCUAUGGGUUGUAAACUGCUUUUAUACAAGAGAAAACCCUGGUACGUGUACCAAGUUGAUAGUAUUGUAAGAAUAAGCAUCGGCUAACUUCGUG
Molecule: ribosomal RNA, 459 nt
Filed under: uncultured bacterium
Lineage: Bacteria
Description: bacterial SSU rRNA
Rfam family: Bacterial small subunit ribosomal RNA
Source: RNAcentral